UUGGUGGGUAGUUGCUGACUCCUGAGUUUUAGGCUGAGUCAAUGAGGGAAGAUUGACGCCAGAGGGCUGGCCUGGAUUAAGAUUUCAGAUCAGCUCUGUAGCAGCAGAAGACUCAAGUAAAUAUGCAAAGCAACCGCAGGACGUUUGCAAGGAGCAAAGAAAUCUAUGUCAGUAUUUUAACAACCGUUUUUUGCGUGUAUUUUCUGCAGGGCUGGGGUAUGCAAUCAAAGUUUAAACUCUGAGCUUUCUAUGAAAACAAAACAAAACAAAACAAAAACAAAAAAACAGAAAAGAAAAAGAAAAAUCCAAAACCCUCAGGACCUCUCUGUGGCUGGGUCUAUGGACAUGUGUUGUCGGAUAAAUGGUGAUGGCGCCCUCAAGUGGCUAGAAGGCUUCACUGCAUAUUGUCUGUUGAGGCUUUUGUCCUCCGAGAUCAGAGUACUCAAGAGAGACUCCUGACAUCUGUCCUCUCCAGUGUCACAUUUAUGAGCAUCUCCACUGUGCUAGGCCUGUCCCAGGACACUAUAUGACCACACCCUCUCUCAUCGGUGUGUUUCUGUAGCAAGUCUUCAUAUUUGUUUCCAACAAUGGUGUCUCUGCGUUCAUGUUGAAGACAGAGAUGGGGUAAGAAGACUAUCCGUGCAUGAAGUAGAGAACUGUUGGUUUGUUUCUUUUUUUUUUUUUAAAGGAGAAGCUAUUUGUAAGCCACUGCACAAAGACGUUUUAUAUACACUGCAGAGACCUGUAGUAAAUUAUGUUGACAAUACGCUGUUUACAUUUUCUGGAGUCUGAUGGCCUCCUACCCCUCACUGAAGCAGCCACCUCCUGCUGUGGGACUGUGCUCAGUGGGUGGCCUGGAGUUUUGCUCUUGGCACUGAUGUACCAGAUUCAAGUUUUACACGCUGUAGCUUUUCUAUGCAUGCCCUCACCCAACCUAAAUUAUGUUUUUUUGUAUAAAUGAUAAAAAAAAACUUUCUC
Molecule: long non-coding RNA, 978 nt
Filed under: Mus musculus (house mouse)
Lineage: Eukaryota; Metazoa; Chordata; Mammalia; Rodentia; Muridae
Description: long non-coding RNA chr3:101462077-101463055
Source: RNAcentral